UACGUAGGCAGCAAGCGUUGUUCGGAAUUACUGGGCGUAAAGGGUGUGUAGGUGGUUGGCUAAGUUUGGUGUGAAAUCUCCCGGCUUAACUGGGAGGGUGCGCCGAAAACUGGCUGGCUAGAGUGUGGGAUAGGGAAGCGGAAUUCCUGGUGUAGCGGUGAAAUGCGUAGAUAUCAGGAGGAACGCCUGCGGUGUAGACGGCUUCCUGGACCAUGACUGACACUGAAACACGAAAGCGUGGGUAGCAAACAGG
This 253-nucleotide ribosomal RNA is filed under the name uncultured bacterium. RNAcentral's name for it is "partial 16S ribosomal RNA". It matches the Rfam family "Bacterial small subunit ribosomal RNA", at positions 524 to 776 of the family's 1533-position model. The record is from RNAcentral.